GGCAAAUCUGGGUCAGGGUUUCUUUCCCAGAACACAUGGCCUCGGACAACAAGUGCCUGGGAGACGCCCUGGAGAGAUCUGUAGGUGGUUAAGAGAAAAGAAAAUAGAUAGGGCAGGAAAAAAAGAAAAGGAAAGAAAGAAGUCUAAAGAGCAGGGUGAAACAAGAGGGAGAUGUGGCAUAGGAUGGCACCAGGCUUGCACCUGCGAGAGUCACAGAGAGAAGGCUUGGCUUGGCUCUCAGGAGGGGAGUGAACAUCAGGAAGACGGAAUGCAUCUCUAGAUAAAGAGCCCUCACCAGGAUGCACAGGAGAAGGAGGGCCCCACCUCAGUGUCUGUUAACAGCAAAAGGGCUCUCAUCCCCACCUCCCAGAUCUGCUGCUACUUCCCUGUAGCUGCUCAGUAAAGAUCUCCAAAGUCCCGUACCCACUGGACCCCUGCCUACAGUCCCCUGACCAACCAUGACAAGCCCAGCAUCCAAGAAGAAAGAAGUCACCCAUGGCUGUGAGAGGCAUGAAGUAUUAUCAGCACCUGGGCGGACAUGCAUUUAGAUAUUGAGGACCCCUGUGUGCUUGCAUUUUCCCUGGAGUCUACAGCAAUGGUAUCUCAGUC
This 609-nucleotide long non-coding RNA is filed under the name Chinchilla lanigera (long-tailed chinchilla). RNAcentral's name for it is "lncRNA (ENSCLAG00000026239.1)". Lineage: Eukaryota; Metazoa; Chordata; Mammalia; Rodentia; Chinchillidae. The record is from RNAcentral.